Molecule: ribosomal RNA, 253 nt
Filed under: uncultured bacterium
Lineage: Bacteria
Description: partial 16S ribosomal RNA
Rfam family: Bacterial small subunit ribosomal RNA
Source: RNAcentral
UACGUAGGGUGCAAGCGUUAAUCGGAAUUACUGGGCGUAAAGCGUGCGCAGGCGGUUGUGUAAGGCAGAUGUGAAAUCCCCGGGCUCAACCUGGGAACUGCAUCCGAAACUGCCUUGCUAGAGUAUGGGAGAGGGAAGUGGAAUUUCCGGUGUAGCGGUGAAAUGCGUAGAUAUCGGAAGGAACAUCAGUGGCGAAGGCGACUUCCUGGACCAAUACUGACGCUCAGGUGCGAAAGCGUGGGGAGCAAACAGG